Molecule: ribosomal RNA, 446 nt
Filed under: uncultured bacterium
Lineage: Bacteria
Description: bacterial SSU rRNA
Rfam family: Bacterial small subunit ribosomal RNA
Source: RNAcentral
UGCCAGACUCCUACGGGAGGCAGCAGUGGGGAAUAUUGCACAAUGGGGGGAACCCUGAUGCAGCGACGCCGCGUGAGUGAAGAAGUAUUUCGAUAUGUAAAGCUCUAUCAGCAGGGAAGAAGAUGACGGUACCUGAGUAAGAAGCCCCGGCUAACUACGUGCCAGCAGCCGCGGUAAUACGUAGGGGGCAAGCGUUAUCCGGAUUUACUGGGUGUAAAGGGAGCGUAGACGGCAUAGCAAGUCUGAAGUGAAAGCCCAAGGCUAAACCAGGGGACUGCUUUGGAAACUGUUAAGCUAGAGUGCUGGAGAGGUAAGCGGAAUUCCUAGGGUAGCGGUGAAAUGCGUAGAUAUUAGGAAGAACACCAGUGGCGAAGGCGGCUUACUGGACAGUAACUGACGUUGAGGCUCGAAAGCGUGGGGAGCAAACAGGAUUAGAUACCCCGGUA